AUGGAUAUUUUACCGACGCUCCCACCCCCCGACCCAAGCCAACAAGCCACGUGGCUCUUCCAGACGUUCACCCCUGGGACUCGGUAUAAAAAUACUACUCCGGCACCUACCAGUCCACUCCUGACUGCUUUCUCUGCUGCCUCCGUACGAAGAAUGGCCCAGACUCCCACCAAGACCACAUUCAGCAGGGGCAAGCUGGAAAGACGAGCUAGCAGAGAGCCCAACAGCCUCCAGACCUCUGAUGGCAGAACACUUGUGAUCGAAAUGACCCCCAAACCAACAAUCUGUGUGAAACACACCCAGAGAACUGAAGGGAUAGUGAAGGUGCACCACAUAAAAGGAUCGGAUAACAACACCCAUGUGGCUUUCUGCUUUCAGAAGAACACUGACUACUAUUACCCCUUCGUCAAGGACAGCAAGCUGAAGCUGCAGAAAGUAGGAUUGCCGAAAACCCCGAGAGGGAAGGAGUUCGAGUUCAAGUGGAACUCCGAGACCUUGGAGUCCGUGGCCCAGCCCAACUGGUUCUGGGUUAUUGACAAAAACAAAGUCCAGGUGCAAAAAGAAAAAAAAGAGACCUUCCGCUGGAUUAAACUUUACAGGAUGAAAAAAAAAACCAAAGCAUCCAAUGAAGCUGCACAGGGCAUUUCGUGUGUCAAGAAAUGAGCGUUUGAGUGUCGUCGUUAAGGGCGACCUAGCAACAGAGUAAUCCCUGUGAAAAUGAUGUGAUUGCGAUGUCUUCGCAACCUCGGUUCUCUGAAAGGGAAAGGAGUCAUCGGAGAUGCAGACGUGAUUUGUGACUGACGUUAUACUGACACUUUACUGUCGCUUUUAUUCCACCUAAGUCAUGUCUUUGCGUAUCUACGGAAGCCUAUUAGCGCCACGGGGAAAUAAAUUCAUUAGCGCGUUUAAAUGAGAUGUAAUCACGACGAGAUACUACUGCCAAGCUAACAGGACUCUCUUUAUAAAUCCAUAUUACUCUCAUGUAGCCGCUUCUCUGGCGUCCUGGAAUUGUUUGGGGAUUUUGAGGCUGGCAUUCCUGUAUCUAGUUAUAUUCACGCCUCCGCAAACCUAGACAGAAAUGCCUUUUCUUCUCCUUUCACAUGACUCAAAUGUAUUCUUUACAAGCACAGGCGAAAAGCAUGUUGUUUUUUUAAUACUUAAAUAUACUGUAAAUCCACAGUAGGUAUAGGUCUGGUUAAUUCAUCAUAAAAGUAUUCUGAUCAGUGUUUAAGGAAUAGGCAACAACCUUAUCGACAUUUUUCUGCACUUCAGAUCAAAAAGAAAAUGUCUGUCAUGCCACGCCUUUCCUGCUUUGCACAUAAAUGGUGAAAACAGUAAGAAUUGAACCCAGGAAUGCACCAUGACGUUAUUACCCUUCAUGUAUGAAAAGGACACUAUACGUGCUCCGUCAGGCUAAUAAAUUUGCAUAAAGAGGAGUGGGACGGUUUUUUUUCCUAAUGAAAAUAGUUUUGCAUACGGCAAUAUUAUUAAAUAUACCAGUAUAUUAAUAUACUAGUGUAAUUAUUUUACACAAUAAAUAUUGCGUUUAAAAGCAAUGAUUUAUUUUUCUUCGUGGCGCUGAUCAACUUCCGUACUAGCUUGCCGUACUAGCCUACUAGUGUAACACGUUCAAUAUUUGUAUUUUUUUCUUGCAUUAUGUAAGUUGUAUAACUUUGUAACUUAUCCCAGUUAUGUGACGGUAUUCAUUUUUAUCCUGGGUGUAUUUUGUAACUGUAAUGCUAAAACAUUUACCACUUUAUAAAUGCAAGUAAAUGUGAAUGUGAAGAAACCCUUUUUUAUUGUGAGUUUUAUUCAUGAUGUACGUACUGCAGUUCUACAGAAUUUAGGCAUGAUUUUAUUUUGAGCAGCAGUUCUGUUAAGCUUCCACUGUCGCAUGAACAACAGCUUUUCACCUUCGUGUUAAACUGUGAGGAGUCGUUCAAUCACUUCUCUCCGUGGUGGAUGCGACUAGGUAUGGUCUGGUCACUAAGAGUCUUUGGUCUUUCACCUUGUCUGUUGUCAAUCACUUAUAUGAUAAGAGAUAAAAUCACUUUAUUGCCCCUAUACAAUUUCUUGUAUUAGGAUUUUGUCUUUUCGCAUACCCCUACUUGCUCUCCAUGAGACACAUAGACAGAGAGAGAAGCUUAGGGUCAGAGGUCAGCCAUCAAUACGGCGCCCCUGGGGCAGUUGGGGUUAAGGACCUUGCUGAGGGGCCCAACGGAGUAGGAUUCCUCUGCCAGGCGGGAACUGGCAACCUUCCAGCCAUAGGCGCAGAUCCUUAGUCACAGAGCCACCAAGAAGGUGGCCAUCUGUAGUGAUAUCCGAGAAGAAACACAGAGCUCGGAGAAAAUGGGGACUAGACUUGGUCACAGAUGCUGCGAUUCUGCGGCAGUUUCAUUCCCUCGUAACCGCUGAAGACUGAGAGGGCUACACCUGUCUGUCCGAACUCUGAAGGGCCUGCCUGUGACUGGAACGAGAAAAUGUUUCAGUCGGGUAAUGUUUUUUUUUUCUCCUGUUGAAGACGACGGGAUUGUUUCUUAAUUCCAGAAGCUGUCGGCGUCUUCUUGGUUGCCGAUUCCGAGCAAAACCGUUCACUCACUGUUGGCGAGUGCUGGCGAUUCAAUAUCAUCAUUUUCAACCUUAAGGCAUCGAAGAACAGCGCAGUCCGUUCACUGAAGCCGAUUUCUCGUUCUCGCCGCUCAAUUGCAAAUAUGGUAGAGGCCCUUCACAAGUAAGAAAGUUCUUUUUGGCGUCGGUGGUUGCUCAUUUAAACAAGCCUCGCAUGUAUAUCCCCGCUUUACUGCGCCUUCUCGUCGAGAUGACUGACUCACAGCACCUGUAGGACGAGCAGAGCAGUUGAGAUCCAUGCGGUCCACUACGCGCCCCGCUUGCUGCCUAUACCUGCGGUUUGAGACCCCUGUUUGACACUGGAUGUGAGUAAAACUAAUUAAACCUCACUCCUGAAGAAGGCUCCACCGCCGAAACGUUGUGUUUUCUUUCUACUCUUUUCAGCAUGGAAUAAAUGUUCCCAGUGAAAAGUUUGUUUACCAGCGAUUAUGCAAGCAGCGCACGUAUUCCAAAACUGACUGACAGGCAGGUAUACGAUAUAUUGCAGCGACCCCCUCUUAGUUUCCCUUGCAGAGUGGGCAGCGCACGAAGAGGGGCAGGAGACGGUGACUGCCGCUAACAGACUUUAUGACCUUUGUCGCUUACAACAGUUGUGGCAGUCACGUGGAGAGCAGACACGGCUCCUGUUGCGCAGCACGUGAGGUGAGGUUAGACCAGGGAAAGAGGAGCGAGCGUGCACAGAAACAGACGCGGCAGCACGCUACCAUGUGUAUGAGGCUAUCGUCUCUACUGUUCUCAACGUUUUAUAUGAAGUUCACGGGAGAGCCCACGUAGGUUGCAACUUAAUAAUACAAAUUUCUUAAUCUUAUAUAGCGCUUUUCUGGAAACUCCACUCAAAGCACUUUACAGGUAAUGGGUACUCCGCUCCACCACCACCAAUGUGCAGCCCCACCUGGAUGAUGCGACGGCAGCCAUAGUGCGCCAGAACGCUCCCCACACACCAGCUAUCACUGGGGAGGAGAACAGAGUGAUGAAGCCAGUUCAGAGAUGGGGAUUAUUAGGAGACCAUGAUUGGUAAAGACCAGAGGGGAAUCUGGCCAGGACACAGGGUUAAUACCUCUGCUCAUUCCGAGAAGUGCCCUCGAGAAAAGGUUGCUUUCACAUAACCAAAAGCUUUUGACAAACGUUCAGAAUGUGAUCAAACGUUUUGUAAAUGGCGUUAUACACGUACCCAGAAUUACGGAGUAUCUGCGUAAUAGGUGAGCGGUCGAAAUUCUACAACCACUUCGCCCAAAUGUCUCUAACCAAUUAGGCCUGUGUAACCUGUCGUCGUUUGUUCGUUGGGCUGCAGCGACCUCGUGUGGUACACUGCAGUAGUACAGCACUGAGAACAAUAAUAAACCAGCAUUUUUUAAAAAACGGCUAAAAAACAUUGGUUACAUCAUUACCCAGACAUCUGUUCUUAAAUAUUA
This 4040-nucleotide long non-coding RNA is filed under the name Lepisosteus oculatus (spotted gar). RNAcentral describes it as "lncRNA (ENSLOCG00000021542.1)". Lineage: Eukaryota; Metazoa; Chordata; Actinopteri; Semionotiformes; Lepisosteidae. The record is from RNAcentral.